RNAcentral lists this ribosomal RNA (473 nucleotides) under uncultured bacterium. RNAcentral's name for it is "bacterial SSU rRNA". It matches the Rfam family "Bacterial small subunit ribosomal RNA", at positions 355 to 825 of the family's 1533-position model. The record is from RNAcentral.
UGGGGAAUAUUGGACAAUGGGGGCAACCCUGAUCCAGCGAUGCCGCGUGUGUGAAGAAGGCCUGCGGGUUGUAAAGCACUUUAGUUGGGGAGGAAAGGUAUGUACUGCAUAAGUGCAUGCUGUGACGUUACCCAAAGAAUAAGCACCGGCAAACUCUGUGCCAGCAGCCGCGGUAAUACGAAGGGGGGCUAGCGUUGUUCGGAUUUACUGGGCGUAAAGCGCGUGUAGGCGGGUCGUUAAGUUGGGGGUGAAAUCCCGAGGCUCAACCUCGGAACUGCCUUCAAAACUGGCGACCUGGACCUAAGUAGAGGCAAGUGGAAUUGCGAGUGUAGAGGUGAAAUUCGUAGAUAUUCGCAGGAACACCAGUGGCGAAGGCGACUUGCUGGACUUAUGGUGACGCUGAGACGCGAAAGCGUGGGGAGCAAACAGGAUUAGAUACCCGAGUAGUCCCUGAGCGGGCUGGCAAGGCGCAU